This 1372-nucleotide ribosomal RNA is filed under the name uncultured bacterium. RNAcentral's name for it is "bacterial SSU rRNA". It matches the Rfam family "Bacterial small subunit ribosomal RNA". The record is from RNAcentral.
GAGUUUGAUCCUGGCUCAGGACGAACGCUGGCGGCGUGCUUAACACAUGCAAGUCGAACGGUAAGGCCCCAGCUUGCUGGGGUACACGAGUGGCGAACGGGUGAGUAACACGUGGGUGACCUGCCCCGCACUUCGGGAUAAGCCUGGGAAACUGGGUCUAAUACCGGAUAGGACCGCACCGUGAGGGUGUGGUGGAAAGUUUUUCGGUGUGGGAUGGGCCCGCGGCCUAUCAGCUUGUUGGUGGGGUAAUGGCCUACCAAGGCGGCGACGGGUAGCCGGCCUGAGAGGGUGGACGGCCACAUUGGGACUGAGACACGGCCCAGACUCCUACGGGAGGCAGCAGUGGGGAAUAUUGCACAAUGGGCGGAAGCCUGAUGCAGCGACGCCGCGUGGGGGAUGACGGCCUUCGGGUUGUAAACUCCUUUCACCAUCGACGAAGGUUUUCUGACGGUAGAUGGAGAAGAAGCACCGGCUAACUACGUGCCAGCAGCCGCGGUAAUACGUAGGGUGCGAGCGUUGUCCGGAAUUACUGGGCGUAAAGAGCUCGUAGGUGGUUUGUCGCGUCGUCUGUGAAAUUCCGGGGCUUAACUCCGGGCGUGCAGGCGAUACGGGCAUAACUUGAGUACUGUAGGGGCAGACUGGAAUCCUGGUGUAGCGUGGAAAGCGCAGAUAUCAGGAGGAACACCGGUGGCGAAGGCGGGUUUCUGGGCAGUAACUGACGUGAGGAGGGAAAGCAUGUGUAGGGACAGGGAUUAGAUACCUGGGUAGUCCAUGCCGUAAACGGUGGGCGCUAGGGGUAGGGGUCUUCCACGACUUGUGUGCCGUAGCUAACGCAUUAAGCGCCCCGCCUGGGGAGUACGGCCGCAAGGCUAAAACUCAAAGGAAUUGACGGGGGCCCGCACAAGCGGCGGAGCAUGUGGAUUAAUUCGAUGCAACGCGAAGAACCUUACCUGGGCUUGACAUAUACGGGACCGGGCCAGAGAUGGUCCUUCCCUUGUGGCUCGUAUACAGGUGGUGCAUGGUUGUCGUCAGCUCGUGUCGUGAGAUGUUGGGUUAAGUCCCGCAACGAGCGCAACCCUUGUCUUAUGUUGCCAGCACGUAAUGGUGGGGACUCGUGAGAAACUGCCGGGGUCAACUCGGAGGAAGGUGGGGAUGACGUCAAAUCAUCAUGCCCCUUAUGUCCAGGGCUUCACACAUGCUACAAUGGUCGGUACAGUGGGUUGCGAUGCCGUGAGGUGGAGCUAAUCCCUGAAAGCCGGUCUCAGUUCGGAUCGGGGUCUGCAACUCGACCCCGUGAAGUCGGAGUCGCUAGUAAUCGCAGAUCAGCAACGCUGCGGUGAAUACGUUCCCGGGCCUGUACACACCGCCCGUC